AAUAAUAAGAUACACGUACAAGUACACAUCCUUCGAUUAACCGCCCAUUUCCUUGCUAUCUCUCAAACAAUGCUGCCUUGAACCCGCUUACUUUCUCUCACUUUCACUCCGAUCAUUACAUCGGUGACGACCGCUUGGCUGCUUAUCCAAGUGCUUUAAGGUUCUUUCUCUUUUUUUCUUUUUCUUUUUUUAUUUUUUUAUUUUGGUGCCAUUGCCGCUCUUCGAAACCGUUUGUGUUUGAUGGGUCUGAGGUUACACUGAUCGACGCCAUUCCUUGCUCAGCACACUCAAGUCUAGAUGACCAUCUGGUUUGCUGGUUUGGAUUAAAUCAGCCAAAGUAUCAGUGGGCACUGGAUGACUGUUAUGAGAGCAAGGGAUUGGUCAGCAUAUUGGGCUUGAGUUUCGAUACUGCAUGUUUGUUUCACAUUCUAGCAAUUGGCAUUGUAAUUUGUGUUGUGGGUAUGGGGAAGGCGAUCUAAGAGAAUGUGUUUCUUUUGUUUAUGACGUUAAUAUUCUGUCAUAUAUAGUGGCUUUUACUUGACUCUUUCCAUUAAUUAGGUGGAAUACAGAUUGCAAUAUGUAGAUGUGAAAAUUCAUUGAUAUAAGCAGUUGGGCACAAUUAUUAUUA
Long non-coding RNA from Ziziphus jujuba (common jujube), 628 nucleotides. RefSeq lists it as uncharacterized. NCBI's taxonomy places the organism in Eukaryota, Viridiplantae, Streptophyta, Magnoliopsida, Rosales, Rhamnaceae. The transcript has 2 exons. The record is from RefSeq and is a predicted model, not a curated record.